Molecule: long non-coding RNA, 2474 nt
Organism: Astatotilapia calliptera (eastern happy)
Lineage: Eukaryota; Metazoa; Chordata; Actinopteri; Cichliformes; Cichlidae
Source: Ensembl
GAAGAGUGGGAAACACCAAGAAGAAGAAGAAAUCGAAUGUGAGGUUUGGUACUUAGUGCUGCAUUGUUCAGUUUGCAAACUUUAUCUUCAUCAUGCAUGCCGAAUUCUUGUUUUUUUUUCUUCUCAUAUCCUGUAUUUUUAUUUUCCUUGCUUUUGUUGUGUGCAUGAAUGAUUUAAGCAAAAGAGAGCAAGUGCUUGAACAGAAAACCUAAAUCUUUCAUUGGCAGUCCCAAAGAGCCCAACACACUGCAGCUUACAAGUACACAGACAAAACAAAUGCAAGAAUAAAGCAGGAAAAACCAGCUGCUGUGUGGCCAAGAAAUAGGAUAAAAUGCAACAAACAUUAAUCAUUAUUAAAAUAUUAUUAUUCAUCAAUUCACUUUUCUCAUGCCUUUUAUGCUCCUGUCUCUGUAAGAGCCCUCUAUCCCUGAAAUUCAGUCUUCUCACUGGCCAUCCUCUGGAAAGUGACGGAAACCACCCAGUGCUUGAGAGCAGUGCUCGAAUUUUGUAGGUGUGACCACAGAAAGAAAUCUGUGGUGAACUGAUGUCAGCUCAUUGCAAAAGAAACAUUUCCAAGUUCCUUCAAAACUUUGGGAACUGAACUCUGUUGUCUCGGUUAACCCCCCAUGUAGCCACCACCAUCAGUUUUUGAAGCCAGAAGUGACCAUAUUUAGAUAAGAGGGACAAGUUUUAACUUACCAGCUAAUGCUAGCAAGCUAAUGCUAGCUAGGUUGAGCAAGGUGCAUCGAUAACAUGAAUCAACAAAGACAGCACCGGUUUAGCAGUGACUCAAGCUCCCUGUAGAUGACACACCUAUUAACCAAAUCACUUUAAGUAUUUUCAAAAGGUUGAAUUAAAAAAAAAGAUGUACUACCAUAGCUUUUAUGAAGCGAAUCCUAUUCAUUCAAUCCUGUUUUUUUUCUACUAUACUUUUUAAUGGUGUCGAGACAGGCAUUUGAUUGUAAGCCCAACAAGGGACAAUUGUUGAAAAUUAGCAAUAGCUAUAAACUUAUGUGCGUUACAUCUGUUUCAUGUUUUGUACUUGGACUAUGUUAAACUGCACUGUCCCUUUUAAAUAAAUAGAUUAACAUGGCAGACAGUGAGGUUAGACUUGCUUUUGAAGCCAGCCUCAAGUGAUUCAUGAAACUGCAGUUUUGGCACUUCAGUCCUGGCUUGAUUUUGUUAACCCCAUUGUUUCUGUUUCCGGUGUGUUUAGUUUGCAGUUCAAAGACAGGCUACACGUGAAUGUUGCUAGUAAAAAGGUGCACAGUGCUAGAAUUACAAACAAAUAGUUUGUUAGGACUUCUGUCCUGAAACUCCAGCAUAUUGAAGGAAAGAGGAUCUGCCACUGCAUUAGAAACACUUGAUCAAACUUGGUAUAUCACUAGCUAAGAAGUGGAGAGACGUAAUGAGACAAGAUGAGGUCAAAUUAAAUAAGAUAUAAGAGAAAAGUAUUUGAUUUUGUGCAGUGUGGGUUCUGUCCAGUAGCAUAUUUGUAUUAGGAUGUGUUUUUAAUUAUUACAAUGGAUUUCUGUAUUUAUUGUAUAUGUUGUAAAAUGGCUCCAUUUCAUUGGUGUUUAUUUUGUCCAUUUUCAUCUAUAUUCUAACAUUUUAGCCUUCUGAGUUUUUGCAACGACACAAUUUUUGCUGUUAGGUGGGCUCUUUUUUUGGUACCACUCCAUAAAACAAAUACUGUGAAGUUUCAUCAAUUUUCUUUUGUCUCUGACUUUUUUAUGUAGGGUUAGCAACAGUUUUAGAAUGUUCAACCUGGCUGUGUCACGAAAACAGAAACAAUAAUAACAACAACGAAUGGAUUAUAUGAUAUUUAUCUGGAUUACUGAGUAUUUGUCACAUUGUAUCAGAAGGGAAAUGGACAUGUGGCCUUAUUUCUGUCAUAAUCCUGCAAGUAAGUGUGAGGGAGGACUCUAUUUUUAUAUGACAACACCAGGAAAUAUGUUAUUUUGCAUGCUUAUAUGGCUGUUAUGCUGCUAAUGAUUGUACUAUCUGUAUUCAUAUCUGAAAAAGAUUUCAGACAACAUUCCUCUGUGUGUUUACUUGUGUACUGUGCAGAAUCAAUCCUUCUAUUUCUGACUGCCAGCCUAAUAAUCCAGCACAUAACAGAUAUAUGAAAAGUAGGGUAGAUUUGUAUCAAACAACGUUUAAAACAUGCAUGUUUGUGUUAUGACUAUAUGUAAACAAACCCAAAGUCACAUAACCUGUUGGAUAUUUUUGUAUGAAGCAUGCUGAGCUUUCUACACAGUGUGUACAGGAUGAGGUUAUUAUAUACUGCUCACCUGUUCCAUUUGUUAUGUAGAAGCUGUGUGUAAAUAUGUUAAAGUGUUGUACAGAAUAUUUUGUGAAGUCUUCCUUCUUUCCAUUUUUUCACUCUGUUCCAAAUAUUUCUUUUAUUUUUGUUUCCACUUGUGUUGGUCAAAGUUUUUAAUUUUGUCACUGUUUUCUAGCUUUUGCUUAAA